AUUGAACGCUGGCGGCAGGCCUAACACAUGCAAGUCGAGCGGAUGAAGGGAGCUUGCUCCUGGAUUCAGCGGCGGACGGGUGAGUAAUGCCUAGGAAUCUGCCUGGUAGUGGGGGAUAACGUCCGGAAACGGGCGCUAAUACCGCAUACGUCCUGAGGGAGAAAGUGGGGGAUCUUCGGACCUCACGCUAUCAGAUGAGCCUAGGUCGGAGUAGCUAGUUGGUGGGGUAAAGGCCUACCAAGGCGACGAUCCGUAACUGGUCUGAGAGGAUGGUCAGUCACACUGGAACUGAGACACGGUCCAGACUCCUACGGGAGGCAGCAGUGGGGAAUAUUGGACAAUGGGCGAAAGCCUGAUCCAGCCAUGCCGCGUGUGUGAAGAAGGUCUUCGGAUUGUAAAGCACUUUAAGUUGGGAGGAAGGGCAGUAAGUUAAUACCUUGCUGUUUUGACGUUACCAAAAGAAUAAGCACCGGCUAACUUCGUG
This 484-nucleotide ribosomal RNA is filed under the name uncultured bacterium. RNAcentral's name for it is "partial 16S ribosomal RNA". It matches the Rfam family "Bacterial small subunit ribosomal RNA", at positions 30 to 507 of the family's 1533-position model. The record is from RNAcentral.